Molecule: ribosomal RNA, 467 nt
Filed under: uncultured bacterium
Lineage: Bacteria
Description: partial 16S ribosomal RNA
Rfam family: Bacterial small subunit ribosomal RNA
Source: RNAcentral
AUGAACGCUGGCGGCGUGCUUAACACAUGCAAGUCGAACGGAAAGGCCCAAGCUUGCUUGGGUACUCGAGUGGCGAACGGGUGAGUAACACGUGGGUGAUCUGCCCUGCACUUCGGGAUAAGCCUGGGAAACUGGGUCUAAUACCGGAUAGGACCACUUCUUGGAUGUUGUGGUGGAAAGUUUUCUCGGUGUGGGAUGAGCUCGCGGCCUAUCAGCUUGUUGGUGGGGUAAUGGCCUACCAAGGCGACGACGGGUAGCCGGCCUGAGAGGGUGUACGGCCACAUUGGGACUGAGAUACGGCCCAGACUCCUACGGGAGGCAGCAGUGGGGAAUAUUGCACAAUGGGCGCAAGCCUGAUGCAGCGACGCCGCGUGGGGGAUGACGGCCUUCGGGUUGUAAACUCCUUUCGCUAGGGACGAAGCGUUUUUGUGACGGUACCUGGAGAAGAAGCACCGGCUAACUACGUG